RNAcentral lists this transfer RNA (52 nucleotides) under Proasellus escolai. Its description in RNAcentral is "transfert RNA-C(TGC)". Lineage: Eukaryota; Metazoa; Arthropoda; Malacostraca; Isopoda; Asellidae. The record is from RNAcentral.
GGUUUAAAUUAAGAGUAGAUUGCAAAUUUACUCAAGCUUAUAGCGUAAGCCU